RNAcentral lists this ribosomal RNA (213 nucleotides) under uncultured bacterium. Its description in RNAcentral is "partial 16S ribosomal RNA". It matches the Rfam family "Bacterial small subunit ribosomal RNA", at positions 522 to 734 of the family's 1533-position model. The record is from RNAcentral.
UACAGGAGGGUCGCAAGCGUUAAUCGGAAUUACUGGGCGUAAAGCGUGCGUAGACGGUUACAUAAGUCGGGUGUGAAAGCCCCGGGCUCAACCUGGGAAUUGCAUUCGAGACUGCGUAGCUAGGGUGCGGAAGAGGGAAGCGGAAUUUCCGGUGUAGCGGUGAAAUGCGUAGAUAUCGUCAAGAACACCGAUAGCGAAGGCAGCCAACUAGGG